RNAcentral lists this transfer RNA (63 nucleotides) under Amblyomma marmoreum. RNAcentral describes it as "tRNA-Gly". The record is from RNAcentral. Lineage: Eukaryota; Metazoa; Arthropoda; Arachnida; Ixodida; Ixodidae.
UGUUUAAUUAGUAUAAAAAGUACAAUUAAUUUCCAAUUAAUAAGUUUAUUUAAAAUUAAACAA